This is a non-coding RNA of Lolium perenne, 75 nucleotides long. NCBI's taxonomy places the organism in Eukaryota, Viridiplantae, Streptophyta, Magnoliopsida, Poales, Poaceae. The record is from the annotation of a RefSeq genome assembly.
GGGGAUGUAGCUCAAAUGGUAGAGCGCUCGCUUUGCAUGCGAGAGGCACGCGGGGUUCGACCCCCCGCAUCUCCA